This 580-nucleotide ribosomal RNA is filed under the name Xylota ignava. Its description in RNAcentral is "eukaryotic LSU rRNA". The record is from RNAcentral. Lineage: Eukaryota; Metazoa; Arthropoda; Insecta; Diptera; Syrphidae.
CAGUUCAAGAGUACGUGAAACUGCUUAGAGGUUAAGCCCGAUGAACCUGAAUAUCCGUUAUGGAAAAUUCAUCCACUAAUACUAUAAUAUAUAUCAUAUUGUAGAAAUAGUGUGCAAUUUUUCCAUAUAAGGACAUUGUAAUCUGUUAAUGUAAUAAAUAUUUAUCAUAAGAUCUUUUACUUAAGUUUAUUUAAAUUAGUUAUUUUCGGAUUUCUAACAUAGAAUAAAUGUAUUAGAUUUGAUAAAUCAUUGACAGAUUUAAUUAUAUAUAGUGCUUAAAUUUUUCGAAAUUUUACAAUGCUGAGUAAAUCUAUUGAUUUAUUUAUAUUGUAUGCACUUAUAUGAUUAACAAUGCGAUAGAUUCAGGAUACCUUCGGGACCCGUCUUGAAACACGGACCAAGGAGUCUAACAUAUGUGCAAGUCAUUGGGUAUUUUUAAUAAAACCCAAUGGCGUAAUUAACUUAACUGUUUUAAAUGGGAUUAGUUUAUAUUUUAUUAUGAAAUAUGAAUUCAAUCCCGGGAGCGUUCUAUACAGUUAUGCAUAAUAAUAUUUAUAUUAUUUAUGCCUCUAACUAGAGC